RNAcentral lists this ribosomal RNA (387 nucleotides) under uncultured bacterium. RNAcentral's name for it is "bacterial SSU rRNA". It matches the Rfam family "Bacterial small subunit ribosomal RNA", at positions 30 to 420 of the family's 1533-position model. The record is from RNAcentral.
AUUGAACGCUGGCGGCAUGCCUUACACAUGCAAGUCGAACGGCAGCGCGGGGCAACCUGGCGGCGAGUGGCGAACGGGUGAGUAAUAUAUCGGAACGUACCCUGGAGUGGGGGAUAACGUAGCGAAGGUUACGCUAAUACCGCAUACGAUCUAAGGAUGAGAGCAGGGGACCGCAAGGCCUUGUGCUCCUGGAGCGGCCGAUAUCUGAUUAGCUAGUUGGUAGGGAAAAGCCUACCAAGGCAUCGAUCAGUAGCUGGUCUGAGAGGACGACCAGCCACACUGGAACUGAGACACGGUCCAGACUCCUACGGGAGGCAGCAGUGGGGAAUUUUGGACAAUGGGCGCAAGCCUGAUCCAGCAAUGCCGCGUGAGUGAAGAAGGCCUCGG